Molecule: long non-coding RNA, 387 nt
Organism: Helianthus annuus (common sunflower)
Lineage: Eukaryota; Viridiplantae; Streptophyta; Magnoliopsida; Asterales; Asteraceae
Exons: 3
Source: RefSeq, a predicted model, not a curated record
AGGGGCGAUCAGAAAACUCCCUUUCAAACCCUAACUCUUGCAAAAACUCACAAUUGAAGGCUCCAAUCAAGUCCAAAUCGAAACCUAUAUGUAGAUUAGUGAUCACCUCCUUGAAGGGAUCAUAAGGCAAGGAAUCCGGAUCGUCGAGUGGAUAAGCCGGAGGAGAUACGCGUUUGAAGGGUGCGCUUUAAAGGUGAAGAUGGACUUAAUCCGGAUGGCGAUCAAGCGACUCUCAAGAACCGAACGCACUAAACAAAGCUUCUGCAUUGAUCUAUUUUGUUUCAGUAAUAUGUAAACACUUGAAUUUACGUUUGAAAGUUUAUCUAGUAGGAUGAUGACUUGAAUAUUUUGAUCAAGUAUGAUCUUAAAAGCAAGAAAGUUUUUGUA